UCGGCUAUGGCAGCCUUGUG
RNAcentral lists this unclassified non-coding RNA (20 nucleotides) under Chlamydomonas reinhardtii. RNAcentral describes it as "small RNA Cre_2706". The record is from RNAcentral. Lineage: Eukaryota; Viridiplantae; Chlorophyta; Chlorophyceae; Chlamydomonadales; Chlamydomonadaceae.